GGCAAUUCUCGAGUGAUGCACCCCGGAAUUGGGCUCCCUCCUCUCUGGUUCCCAGUGCAUCACCUGAGAACCACA
Myotis brandtii (Brandt's bat) is the source of this 75-nucleotide non-coding RNA. Lineage: Eukaryota; Metazoa; Chordata; Mammalia; Chiroptera; Vespertilionidae. The record is from Rfam.